RNAcentral lists this transfer RNA (72 nucleotides) under Capra hircus (goat). It matches the Rfam family "tRNA". Rfam says of the family: Transfer RNA (tRNA) molecules are approximately 80 nucleotides in length. Their secondary structure includes four short double-helical elements and three loops (D, anti-codon, and T loops). RNAcentral also lists the same sequence under 1 other name. Lineage: Eukaryota; Metazoa; Chordata; Mammalia; Artiodactyla; Bovidae. The record is from Rfam by way of RNAcentral.
UCCCUGGUGGCUCAGCAGGUAAAGAAUCUGCCUGCAAUGCAGGAGACCCGGGUUCGAUCCCUGGAUUGGGAA